CCGGGUGUGUAAGCGCAGCGAUGCGUUGAGCUAACCGGUACUAAUGAACCGUGAGGCUUAACCUUA
This 66-nucleotide ribosomal RNA is filed under the name Salmonella enterica subsp. enterica serovar Typhimurium. RNAcentral describes it as "partial 23S ribosomal RNA". The record is from RNAcentral. Lineage: Bacteria; Pseudomonadati; Pseudomonadota; Gammaproteobacteria; Enterobacterales; Enterobacteriaceae.